RNAcentral lists this ribosomal RNA (251 nucleotides) under uncultured prokaryote. Its description in RNAcentral is "partial 16S rRNA". It matches the Rfam family "Bacterial small subunit ribosomal RNA", at positions 525 to 775 of the family's 1533-position model. The record is from RNAcentral.
ACGUAGGGGGCGAGCGUUGUCCGGAAUCACUGGGCGUAAAGCGCACGUAGGCGGGCUGUCAAGUCGGCCGUGAAAGGCACGGGCUCAACCGGAGCAUGUCGAGGGAUACUGGCGGGCUGGAGGGCGGGAGAGGGGAAAGGAACUCCAGGGGUAGGGGUGAAAUGCGGUGAUCCUUGGAGGACCACCUGUGGCGAAGGCGGCUCACUGGGACGGCACUGACGGUGAGGAGCGAAAGCCGGGGGAGCAAACGG